GAGGAUACAGGAGAGCAAAGGCGGGAGUGGGUGAAUCCUCAGGCCUGCAACCUUGUUCCGCAGGCAGUCCUCCCCUUGGAUGGCAGAUCUGCCUCACUGCAGCGCUUAACCUCCGUAACAAACGGAGCUCUGUCGUGUGCGGGACGGACAGGAUGGUGAGUUCUGCACAGUGAGCUUGUGAUCUUUAGUCUCUGUGUCGAGAUGGUGGCAGACUGCUGCAGCUGGUUAUCCCGAUGUAGGCAGGAGGGCGCUCCGAGCUGCUGCUGACACAGGGGAGUCCUGAGGAAACAGGGCGCCUACUUUGAGACCUGGAAAGCAGAGCUGCGCUGACGUUAAAUGAAGACAUUUAGCCUUGGUUAGAACUCUCAGGAAGACUUCUGUUCCCUCACUGUCCACUUGUUUUUGCAGCAGCAGCAGCUCCGCUGUGGAAGUGUGAAACUUUUACCACACAAAACUAACGUGAAGCAGGACACGAAGGCAGAGGCCAUGGUGUACAGCGUGACCUUCAUUGGCUGGGAGCAGAACCGGGAAGAAAUGGUAAAAUUCACCUUAGAAGAACCUUGGAAUGGAUUUGGAUUCCUGUUGCUGCCUGGGGCUGAAACUGUUAUUUAAUCAGACCUGCUUAACACCUUUAGACUAGAGUGUGCCUGGGAAUUUAUUACCACGUGGAACCUGUGUAAAGUAAUGUGGCAGUCCUAAUGGCCAAAUAGAAUAAUAAAAUAUUGAUGCUC
Molecule: long non-coding RNA, 731 nt
Organism: Pezoporus occidentalis (night parrot)
Lineage: Eukaryota; Metazoa; Chordata; Aves; Psittaciformes; Psittacidae
Exons: 2
Source: RefSeq, a predicted model, not a curated record